RNAcentral lists this ribosomal RNA (253 nucleotides) under uncultured bacterium. Its description in RNAcentral is "partial 16S ribosomal RNA". It matches the Rfam family "Bacterial small subunit ribosomal RNA", at positions 524 to 776 of the family's 1533-position model. The record is from RNAcentral.
UACGUAGGGGGCAAGCGUUGUCCGGAAUUAUUGGGCGUAAAGAGCGCGUAGGCGGUCCGGUAAGUCGGUUGUGAAAGUCGGGGGCUCAACCCUCGGAUGCCGAUCGAUACUGUCGGGCUAGAGUCCGGAAGAGGCGAGUGGAAUUCCUGGUGUAGCGGUGAAAUGCGCAGAUAUCAGGAGGAACACCAAUGGCGAAGGCAGCUCGCUGGGACGGUACUGACGCUGAGGAGCGAAAGCGUGGGGAGCAAACAGG